GAUGAACGCUAGCUACAGGCUUAACACAUGCAAGUCGAGGGGAAACGAUAGAGAAAGCUUGCUUUUUCUAGGCGUCGACCGGCGCACGGGUGAGUAACGCGUAUCCAACCUGCCCACCACUUGGGGAUAACCUUGCGAGAGUAAGACUAAUACCCAAUGACGUCCAUAGAAGACAUCUGAAAUGGAUUAAAGAUUUAUCGGUGAUGGAUGGGGAUGCGUGUGAUUAGCUUGUUGGCGGGGUAACGGCCCAACAAGGCGACGAUCAGUAGGGGUUCUGAGAGGAAGGUCCCCCACAGUGGAACUGAGACACGGUCCAAACUCCUACGGGAGGCAGCAGUGAGGAAUAUUGGUCAAUGGGCUAGAGCCUGAACCAGCCAAGUAGCGUGCAGGAUGACGGCCCUAUGGGUUGUAAACUGCUUUUAUAAGGGAAUAAAGUGAGUCUCGUGAGACUUUUUGCAUGUACCUUAUGAAUAAGGACCGGCUAAUUCCGUGCCAGCCGCCGCCGUAA
Molecule: ribosomal RNA, 508 nt
Filed under: uncultured bacterium
Lineage: Bacteria
Description: partial 16S ribosomal RNA
Rfam family: Bacterial small subunit ribosomal RNA
Source: RNAcentral